RNAcentral lists this small RNA (547 nucleotides) under Cladophialophora multiseptata. RNAcentral describes it as "eukaryotic LSU rRNA". It matches the Rfam family "Eukaryotic large subunit ribosomal RNA", at positions 72 to 635 of the family's 3401-position model. Lineage: Eukaryota; Fungi; Ascomycota; Eurotiomycetes; Chaetothyriales; Herpotrichiellaceae. The record is from RNAcentral.
GGAUUGCCUCAGUAACGGCGAGUGAAGCGGCAAUAGCUCAAAUUUGAAAUCUGGCCUCUCGGGGUCCGAGUUGUAAUUUGUAGAGGAUGUUUUGGGUACCGCCCCGGUUUAAAUUUCUUGGAACAGAAUGUCAAAGAGGGUGAGAAUCCCGUCUUGGAUCGGUGGUAGGGCCUAUGUAAAACUCCUUCGACGAGUCGAGUUGUUUGGGAAUGCAGCUCAAAUUGGGUGGUAAAUUUCAUCUAAAGCUAAAUAUUGGCCAGAGACCGAUAGCGCACAAGUAGAGUGAUCGAAAGAUGAAAAGCACUUUGAAAAGAGAGUUAAACAGUAUGUGAAAUUGUUGAAAGGGAAGCGCUUGCAACCAGACUUGAGCGCGGCGGUUCCCCUCGCCUUUUGGCGAGGCUACUCCGUCGUGUCCAGGCCAACAUCGGUUCUGAGGGUCGGUUAAAGGCUCUGGGAAUGUACCUACCCACGGGUAGACUUAUAGACCAGGGUGUCAUGCGACCUCCCGGGACCGAGGAACGCGCUUCGGCUCGGAUGUUGGCGUAAU